This 429-nucleotide ribosomal RNA is filed under the name uncultured bacterium. Its description in RNAcentral is "bacterial SSU rRNA". It matches the Rfam family "Bacterial small subunit ribosomal RNA", at positions 28 to 468 of the family's 1533-position model. The record is from RNAcentral.
GAUGAACGCUGGCGGCGUGCCUAACACAUGCAAGUCAAGGGAGAAGGUAACCUUCGGGGAACCGGAUACUGGCGCACGGGUGAGUAACACGUGGAUUAUCUACCCUUUACACAGACAUAACUCAGGGAAACUUUGAGCUAAUAUCUGAUGAGGCCUCCGGGUCAAAGCUUCGGCGGUAAAGGAUGAGUCUGCGUCUGAUUAGCUAGUUGGUAAGGUAAUGGCUUACCAAGGCGACGAUCAGUAACUGGUCUGAGAGGACGAUCAGUCACACUGGAACUGAGACACGGUCCAGACUCCUACGGGACGGCAGCAGUGAGGAAUUUUGGACAAUGGGGGAAACCCUGAUCCAGCGACGCCCGCGUGUGGGGAUGAAUGGGUUAUGCCCUGUAAACCACUGUCAGCAGAGACGAAAAGGUUCCUUUGGAACCC